GGGUUGUGAGGUUAAGCGACUAAGCGUACACGGUGGAUGCCCUGGCAGUCAGAGGCGAUGAAGGACGUGCUAAUCUGCGAUAAGCGCCGGUAAGGUGAUAUGAACCGUUAUAACCGGCGAUUUCCGAAUGGGGAAACCCAGUGUGACUCGUCACACUAUCAUUAACUGAAUCCAUAGGUUAAUGAGGC
RNAcentral lists this ribosomal RNA (188 nucleotides) under Salmonella enterica subsp. enterica serovar Give. RNAcentral's name for it is "partial 23S ribosomal RNA". It matches the Rfam family "Bacterial large subunit ribosomal RNA", at positions 1 to 180 of the family's 2925-position model. The record is from RNAcentral. RNAcentral also lists the same sequence under 1 other name. Lineage: Bacteria; Pseudomonadati; Pseudomonadota; Gammaproteobacteria; Enterobacterales; Enterobacteriaceae.